RNAcentral lists this non-coding RNA (26 nucleotides) under Homo sapiens (human). Lineage: Eukaryota; Metazoa; Chordata; Mammalia; Primates; Hominidae. The record is from RNAcentral.
UAGUCUAGUGUGUCAGGCAGAGGCUC